GACGAACGCUGGCGGCGCGCUUAACACAUGCAAGUCGAACGGAAAGGCCUGCUUUCCCUUGUGGAUUGCGGGUACUCGAGUGGCGAACGGGUGAGUAACACGUGAGUGAUCUGCCCCCAACUUGGGUAUAAGCCUGGGAAACUGGGUCUAAUUCCCGAUAGGACUGCAGGGUGGUGCCUGUGGUGGCAAACGAUUUUCUAGUGGUUGGGGAUGAGCUCGCGGCCUAUCAGCUUGUUGGUGGGGUAAUGGCCUACCAAGGCGGCGACGGGUAGCCGGCCUGAGAGGGUGGACAGCCACAUUGGGACUGAGAUACGGCCCAGACGCCUGCGAGAGGCAGCAGUGGGGAAUAUUGCACAAUGGGCGGAAGCCUGAUGCAGCGACGCCGCGUGGAGGAUGACGGCCUUCGGGUUGUAAACUCCUUUCGACCGCGAGGAAGCCACCUGGUUGGAAGGGUGGUGACGGUAGUGGUAGAAGAAGCACCGGCUAACUACGUG
This 494-nucleotide ribosomal RNA is filed under the name uncultured bacterium. RNAcentral describes it as "partial 16S ribosomal RNA". It matches the Rfam family "Bacterial small subunit ribosomal RNA", at positions 28 to 507 of the family's 1533-position model. The record is from RNAcentral.